AUUGAACGCUGGCGGCAUGCUUUACACAUGCAAGUCGAACGGGUGUUGGGGGCAACUCUGGCAUCAGUGGCGAACGGGUGAGUAAUGCAUCGGAACGUGCCUGGUAGUGGGGGAUAACGUAGCGAAAGUUACGCUAAUACCGCAUACGCUGGAGACAGGAAAGCGGGGGACCUGCGAGGGCCUCGUGCUACCGGAGCGGCCGAUGUCCGAUUAGCUAGUUGGUGGGGUAAAGGCCCACCAAGGCGACGAUCGGUAGCUGGUCUGAGAGGAUGAUCAGCCACACUGGGACUUAGACACGGCCCAGACUCCUACGGGUGGCUG
RNAcentral lists this ribosomal RNA (321 nucleotides) under uncultured Pseudomonadota bacterium. RNAcentral describes it as "bacterial SSU rRNA". It matches the Rfam family "Bacterial small subunit ribosomal RNA", at positions 30 to 351 of the family's 1533-position model. Lineage: Bacteria; Pseudomonadati; Pseudomonadota. The record is from RNAcentral.